Mytilus californianus (California mussel) is the source of this 356-nucleotide long non-coding RNA. RefSeq lists it as uncharacterized. Lineage: Eukaryota; Metazoa; Mollusca; Bivalvia; Mytilida; Mytilidae. The transcript is spliced from 3 exons. The record is from RefSeq and is a predicted model, not a curated record.
UCCUGUUUAAAAGAAAGGAAAAACAGAGGACGAAGUCGACGAGAAACUUGCCGUUAUCAAGUAUCAUUAUGAAGUUUGUCAAACAAAUUAAAGGCUGAAAGGAGUUUUAAGUGAAGCAAAAUCAAAAUUCAUUUUUGGGAAUUCCAAUCUACAUGCAUAAAAUCAACUAAGAGAUUAAGUAUACUGCAAAAGUAUAAAGAUGUCACUGAGAAAAAUAUAGCUGAUGAAAACGCCCUCUACCUGAAGUCUGCGGCAGAAAAAACUUGGGGUUGUUGAAGAAAGUUGACAUGCAAAAAGGAAAAAAGAGACAAAGAUAUCGAAUGAAUUUAUAAAAUAAAUCUUGUAUCAAAAGAAAU